Molecule: long non-coding RNA, 1125 nt
Organism: Lemur catta (Ring-tailed lemur)
Lineage: Eukaryota; Metazoa; Chordata; Mammalia; Primates; Lemuridae
Exons: 2
Source: RefSeq, a predicted model, not a curated record
CCUUCAGACACGUGUGGAUGAAUCUCAGAUACCGAGUGAAAGCGUCUGGACACUGAGCCCAGACCAUGUAAUAACUUCUUACAUGUAAAAACAGCAGAAAGUGCACCCUGCUGUACACUGACAGCAGACGGGGCUGGGGACGACAGCACAGGUGCACAGGCUGAGUGGCUUGGAGGGGGAGUGGACCGGAGAUGGCCGGGGAGAGCGGCUGCUGUGCUCUGAGUCCUGGUCAUGCUGCCCAGGUCAAGUAGGUAUAGAUCAGUGUGCGCAAAUAUGUCUCUGUGGAGUUGAUUUUAAGAAAAGACAUGUCUGUUUUUAAAUAAGACUUUAAUUUUGUGACAGCUAGGCCUUCCCUUCUGCCUAUAAUCCUUCUCAUAGGCAGAAGGGAGGCUUUAGUCAAAAUGACAGAUGACUUAGGACCAGGCAUCUAUCCCUGUCCGUCCUGUGUGGAGGAUGCUGCAGGCAUGGAAAGGCCUGAAGUCAUCUUUGAAGGAGAUGAUGUUCACUUCUUAAGAAAUUUCUCCCUCAGUUUAAUUAGAUGUAGUUUCUCUCGGUACAAUCUGUGGUUUAUACUUCUUCACGCUGUUUGUAAUCUGAUUCUUUGUGUCCAUUUCUCAUGUCUGUAAGCCUAGUGCCAGCACGGCACAUCAUAAGGACUCUUGCAAACUGGUUGACGGAGUGUUUGAUCACUGCCCUGUCUUUGAGAUAUGUCUAUUUUCAGAGAUGGUCUAGUGCUAGAUCAGAGUUGGGUACUUACCAUUGUGCCUGAGAGUAAUUUGGGGAAACCUGGUGACCUACGCCACACAGUAAUUGAGGGAAUGCUUCCCCCCCCCCUUUUUACAGGUUGCUGCAAAACUGUAAUGAUGACAGUUUGAAUGUUGCACUUCCGAUGAGAAUGCUUGAGGUAUUUUCAUCUGAGAAUACUUACAUGCCUGUUUUACAAGAUGCCAAUUAUGUGGUGUCAGUAAUUGCACAAACUUUGCACUACGUGAUUCAAAAUGGUGAGCCGACAGAGGUGUGGAAGAAGGUAUCCACAAUCACUGGGAAAGAGCAUGGUGGGGGUGGCGGCCAAGGCUGAAUGCUUUACAUGCUGCGUUGAGGUCUUACGCGUGUAAUUAAAGGUAA